Zea mays is the source of this 715-nucleotide RNA transcript. RefSeq lists it as uncharacterized. The record is from RefSeq and is marked validated. Lineage: Eukaryota; Viridiplantae; Streptophyta; Magnoliopsida; Poales; Poaceae. The transcript is spliced from 2 exons.
AUUGCCUCGUCCCUAGGUGGCGAGCUCGCUCCUUCCCUUUUGCUCGCCCAAGCUCCACCUUCCAGCGCCACCUCUCCCAUGGUGCUCGUUCUCAGCCCUAAAUUGUCCAGUCCAUGGCUCGGCUCUGCGUCCUCGCUGCUCCCCAAAGCUCGCCCCGCCUCUCUGCCUCCUUGCUGGCCGCCAUCCCCCUCCCCAAGCCGAGCACCCCAACCGAGCUUGCUCUGGCUCCAGCCCCUCCCUCGUGCUCAGUUUGACGUCACCCAGGACACGGAUGCCGUCGAGUUCGCUCCUCUUCUUGGCUGGCCAUGGUCACCACGUCAUUGACUCUGGUACUCGAUGUUCGUGUCCCAGGACCCAGCACCUGUAUUUUGAUGUUAACUAUGUGUGUUUGUAUGUGUGAUGAGGAGCGAGAUCCCUGGAUUUUUGUCAAGAAGAAGGUGAAGUCAUAGAGUGGCGCUCUCUAGGUGUUCUAUGAAAUGCUUGAACCGGACAUCGUCUGUCGAUCUCAUGGUUUCGAGUUCGAUUUAGGUAAUGAUAAGCCAAUUUAUUAUUUUGGAUAGUUGUUGUUAGAUGGUUUGGAUAGCAUGUUAGUCCUGAUGAUUAUGACAUCUAUCAUACAUAAGUGUUGUGAUGACGAUCUUUGGAUUUUGUGUUGCGUCUAUGUGCUGCUCCGUGUGGACGUCUAAGGAAGGAACUCGGGACCCCUUCUCUUUUC